AUUGAACGCUGGCGGCAGGCCUAACACAUGCAAGUCGAGCGGUAACAGAACUAGCUUGCUAGUUGCUGACGAGCGGCGGACGGGUGCGUAACACGUAGGAAUCUGCCCGGUAGUGGGGGAUAGCCCGGAGAAAUCCGGAUUAAUACCGCAUACGUCCUACUCUUUUUCGGAAGAGGGGGGAAAGCAGGGGAAUCUUCGGAUCCUUGCGCUAUCGGAUGAGCCUGCGUCGGAUUAGCUAGUUGGUAGGGUAAAGGCCUACCAAGGCAACGAUCCGUAGCUGGUCUGAGAGGAUGAUCAGCCACACUGGGACUGAGACACGGCCCAGACUCCUACGGGAGGCAGCAGUGGGGAAUAUUGCACAAUGGGCGCAAGCCUGAUGCAGCCAUGCCGCGUGUGUG
Molecule: ribosomal RNA, 398 nt
Filed under: uncultured bacterium
Lineage: Bacteria
Description: bacterial SSU rRNA
Rfam family: Bacterial small subunit ribosomal RNA
Source: RNAcentral